AAACCAAAAAAACUUGCGACCUACAACGUAUCCCUUUUCUCAACUAAUUCCUCGAAAAGCGCGCGAAAACAGUUGGAAAAAAUUCUUCUCUUUGUUUUUCUUCCUUAUUUUCUUUAUAUUUAUAUAGCAAAAUUCGUUUUUGUCUUUCCCUUUUAUAGUUUCUCUAUUUCUCUAUUCAUAUAAACAAAUAAUGUGAUUUUGAGAAUUGGUUCCUCUUUUUUUGAUUUUCAAUAGGGAAAGAGGUAUUAAUUAGAUCAAAAUUGAGAUGGAUGGGAAUAACUGGAAGGCUCAGGCCCGGGCUCGGGCUCGGGCUCGAGGUGGUGGUGGUGGUGGUGGUGGUGGUGAAGGUACCGGCCUAUCAGCUCCCGCCGGCGGAUUGAAAUAUCCUACAGCUCAGACGAGAAAUGCAAAUGGAGCUGGUUGGUAGGAGGAGGUUUACCAAAAGAUCAAGUCUAUGAAGGAGAUGUAUUUACCAAAACUCAAUGAUCUAUACCAUAAAGUUGCUUCUGAAAUGCAGCAGGGGCAGAUGCAAAUGGGUGGAUGACACCGCUUCGCCGGAAAAAAAUACUGAAUGUUCGUACUAAUAUUCUGCAAAAACGAUACAAUAUAUAGUAAUGACACCACUUCCUAGCAAAGAGUAUUUCAUGAUCCACUGGCCAAGCUCAUAUUUGGGUUUGUAAAGUUCGUAGGCUCGAGGCUGGACCUAGACAUUCUAUUUUUUGAACAUCUUUGAGCGAGCAUUUUUGUUAAAAAUUUGAGGCUACGGAAAAUUGAACCUAUACAUACCUCCCUUUGCAAUAAUAUUCAACUAAACCAUUGGGUCAUGACUUUCAACUUGUAGGAAAAUGAUAUUAAAUAAUAUUUAUUUAUUUUAUUUAUAUAAAUACGACACUGCUUACAAAAAGUUCUGCGUACGCCCGUGUUCUUACAUCUUUGUCAUUUGACAGCUUUGAAGUAUUGUGUAUGAUUGUGAAGUAGAGGUGGUGGUGGGCAGCGUGAAAGGAGUUAUUUGCACAUAUCUAGUGUCCCCAACAUGAGAAAAUUGAAAAGUUCAAGGUGUUCAAGGUAAAGCUGGAAUACUUUGUGCUAUUAUUGCAGCUUAACAAGCACGAUCCAACUUUCGAAACUGCUUUCGGUUGAGAAGCACAUAAAUUUCUUUCUUAUAUCCAAUAAUCCUCCCCAGCCUGAUUCGUCUCCGCUGCAAGGGCAACUUCCUCAGCCUCCUGUGCAUACAAGUCAGACACCUAUGAUGGGUUCUGAUUGGCAAGAUACUGCUUCUCAUUUUGAUGGGUUAGAUGACAGUUUUGGUGGAUUGGGUUCGACACAGAAUAGUUUUGGUAUUGCUACUUCUGGUUUUGAUAGGCUGGGUUCUAGUUUUGGUGGAUUGAGUUCUGGUGCUAAACUUGAUGAGCGUUUAACACAUGUUGAGGAACGACUAGAGAAAAUUGAGGCUCAUUCGAAAAAGGCAGAGGCAUUGUUGACUGAUAUUAACAAAAAACUGAAUUAUUAUCCAGUGAAAAUACGGUAUGUUAAAGUUUCUAGGGACAUUAGAUGUUCAGCUAAGUACAUGAGCUGUCAUUUUCGACCAAAGAGGAAACAUAGAGUAGCUGAGAUGAUAAGGCAGUCGUGCAAACAUCGACGAUUGAGAAGAGGUGUAGUAGAAGUAGUUUUUCGGUUGGUUCGUAUGAUGAUUGUGCCGACGAUGACCAAAGGAAGCUAGAUGAAGAGCAAAAAAGUUGAUACUAAUAACUUAUGAUUUCUUUUCCUUUGUCUAAGAUUUCCUACGAAUAAAGUAAAUUAUCUCUUGCAAUUUACAAAAGAGUUGAUAAUAACUUAUGAUUUUUUUUCCUUUGUCUAAUUUUUUAUUCUCAUUCAAUUUAUAAAUCUUUUCAGUUAUUAA
Molecule: non-coding RNA, 1900 nt
Organism: Nicotiana tabacum (common tobacco)
Lineage: Eukaryota; Viridiplantae; Streptophyta; Magnoliopsida; Solanales; Solanaceae
Source: RefSeq, a predicted model, not a curated record